This 468-nucleotide ribosomal RNA is filed under the name uncultured bacterium. Its description in RNAcentral is "partial 16S ribosomal RNA". It matches the Rfam family "Bacterial small subunit ribosomal RNA", at positions 28 to 507 of the family's 1533-position model. The record is from RNAcentral.
GACGAACGCUGGCGGCGUGCUUAACACAUGCAAGUCGAACGGAAAGGCCCUGCUUUUGUGGGGUGCUCGAGUGGCGAACGGGUGAGUAACACGUGAGUAACCUGCCCUUGACUUUGGGAUAACUUCAGGAAACUGGGGCUAAUACCGGAUAGGAGCUCCUGCUGCAUGGUGGGGGUUGGAAAGUUUCGGCGGUUGGGGAUGGACUCGCGGCUUAUCAGCUUGUUGGUGGGGUAGUGGCUUACCAAGGCUUUGACGGGUAGCCGGCCUGAGAGGGUGACCGGCCACAUUGGGACUGAGAUACGGCCCAGACUCCUACGGGAGGCAGAAGUGGGGAAUAUUGCACGAUGGGCGGAAGCAUGAUGCAGCAACACCGCGUGCGGGAUGACGGCCUUCGGGUUGUAAACCGCUUUCGCCGGUGACGAAGCGGGAGUGACGGUAAUGGGUAAAGAAGCACCGGCUAACUACGUG